UCAAAAUCGAUAGCCCAACUUCGUCGUCACAUCUCUCUUCCCUCGGUAGUCUUUUGUUACUGGUACAAGACCUAGUGGUUUCGAUUUGAAAUCCUGAAACGACGGCGUUAUAUGAGCGGCUGAAGAGAAAAGUCACAGCACAAGGUAACAGUGGUUGUUUCAGACCUGGCGGCUGCCGCUGUAGUUCGACGCAUCAAGCUUUUCAAUCUGCCGUGCAAUUCAAAUGUCGUCGGCGUCGUAGUGGCAGUGGGAGACCGCCAUCGUCGGCGCCGUCGCUGGGUUUGCCACCAACACCGCGUUGCAUCCUCUGGACCGACUUGGGAAUAGGUGUUUGGGAAUCGAGAGAGGAACUCUGAAUUUGGGAAAGACAGUCAAAACAAAUGAAUAAGAACAAGACUGUAAAUUUCGUCUUGUGUUAUUCACAGUGCUUACUCUUGUAGCUCAGGUCUA
This is a non-coding RNA of Prunus mume (Japanese apricot), 450 nucleotides long. Lineage: Eukaryota; Viridiplantae; Streptophyta; Magnoliopsida; Rosales; Rosaceae. The record is from RefSeq and is a predicted model, not a curated record.